Non-coding RNA from Chlorocebus sabaeus (green monkey), 1075 nucleotides. NCBI's taxonomy places the organism in Eukaryota, Metazoa, Chordata, Mammalia, Primates, Cercopithecidae. The record is from RefSeq and is a predicted model, not a curated record.
GGUUCAUCCAGUAGAAACUUCAGGUCCAUGCUCAGCUGUUACAAGGACUGGCAGCUUUCACUUUCGGUCUUUUUUUGAAACCAGCUGCCACGUAAGAACUUCAACUUUCCUGAGACCAACAAGCUGUAAAGAAGCAAAGCGCCCAUGUAGAAAGGCCUGGUGGAAUAGUUCUUAAGAAGAGACUUGAUCUUCUGUUGAGGAGCAUUGAGUACCUGUGUUGCCUAAUAGGUGUGCUCCCUCGUGGCUAUUGUUAACACCUUUAUGUCCGCAAGAACCCAAUGUUCAGCUCCCACUUAUAAGUGUUUACUACUAUAAACUUUCUUCUUAACACUGCUAUGACUACAACCCAGAGAUUUUGUGUUGACCUUGGACAAUCUGGUGAUCAUAUUCCUUGGUGAUGUUCAUCAUGUAUAAUAUCUCAAAGUUGUUCUCUGGAUUUUUUUUGUAUCUGGAUGUAUACUUGUCUAACAAGAUUAUUUUUUUUGAAUGAUUCCCUCAAAUAUGUUUUCUAAUUUUUUUUACAAUUUCCUCCUGCUGUCAGAAAUGCCAGUAAUUCAUAGAUUUGUUCAUUUUACAUAAUCCCAUAUUUCUCAAUGACUUUAAUUUUUUUAAAUGCUUUUUUCUUUAUGUUUCCCUAACUAGAUUAGUUUGAAAGAUUAAUCUUCAAGCUCUACAAUUCUUUCCUCUGCCUGUCCUAGUCUAUUGAUAAAGCUUUCUUUUGUAUUUUGAAAUUUCUUAAGUGAGUUUAGAAAGCUCUGACUUUUUAAUUCCAGAAGCUCAUCUUUUCUGUUAAGAUGUUUAUUUCUUCUGUCAUUUCCUGAAUUGCUUUAGAAAUCUCUUUGUGUUGAUUUUUAACCUUUUCUUGGAUCUCUUUGUGCUUCCCUGCAACAAUUCUGGUGGGUUCCCUUUUUCCUUUUCAUAUAAUUAAUCUUUAUGCACUAUCUUGCUAUUUCCAAGUGGCUGAUGCAUGCUAAAGGCCUCUAAUUCAUCACCUUGGAAUAAAAAAAAAAAAUCACUUUUUUCCACAUUAGAAUGUAUUGCAUCAUCUUAGUUAACCAUUACCAUUUUUGUCUUG